UACGGAGGGUGCGAGCGUUGUCCGGAAUCAGUACUGGGCGUAAAGGGCGCGUAGGCGGCGCCCCAAGUCGGAUGGUGAAAGGCCCGUGGCUCCAACUGCGGGUCGGCCACCGAUACUGGGGGGCUGGAGCACGGUAGAGGCAGGUGGAAUUCCGGGUGUAGCGGUGGAAUGCGUAGAGAUCCGGAAGAACACCGGUGGCGAAGGCGGCCUGC
Molecule: ribosomal RNA, 212 nt
Filed under: uncultured bacterium
Lineage: Bacteria
Description: partial 16S ribosomal RNA
Rfam family: Bacterial small subunit ribosomal RNA
Source: RNAcentral